AUGUAGAAAAGUAGGGCAUCAUUGUAUUUGGUUGAGAGGAGGGUAUUUGCUAAAUCACCACCUAUACCCUUCUUUUCUUCUCUUGAAGACCAAUUUUGAUGAAAAGUAAAGGGAGAGUUGAGAAGCAUUGGGAGCGUUUGGAUUGAGAGUGAUGGGAAAGGCCCUCGUAAAAAAAAAAAAGAAAAAAGAAAGAGAAAUCCUUUCCUAUUCCUCCCAUACCGAAGGUUUCCGAUCUCUCCUCCUUUAUCUUCUCUCUUAGACAAAUUCUCUUUUUUACAUAGAUCAGCAUCUAAAGGCUUCGUUCAUUGAAGAGCUAAUAAAUCUCCAUUUUGAAGACCUAAGAAUUUUCGGAAAAGGUUCAAGGAAGGAAAAUCCCAGAAUUGAUUGUGAUAAUAGAUGGGGAAAAUAUUUUAUUGUGUAAUCUUCAUAUUUUAUUUGUGAUUUGAGGGUGGGAGAUUGAUUAACAUCACACCAACAUGAUUUCAUGAUCUAAUAAAAAAUGAAUCUCUCUCUUUUACACUAAUCUAGAUCUCUAGAUCUCUAUCUACUUCAACAAUUUGUCUAACAUGAUUUCUUUGAUCUAAUAUACAAAUCUUUUUUUUCCCAA
Molecule: long non-coding RNA, 607 nt
Organism: Malania oleifera
Lineage: Eukaryota; Viridiplantae; Streptophyta; Magnoliopsida; Santalales; Ximeniaceae
Exons: 2
Source: RefSeq, a predicted model, not a curated record